UACGUAGGUGGCAAGCGUUGUCCGGAUUUAUUGGGUUUAAAGGGUGCGUAGGCGGCCACGUAAGUCAGUUGUGAAAUACCCCGGCUCAACCGGGGGGGUGCGAUUGAUACUGCGUGGCUUGAGUGGCAGCGAGGUUGGCGGAAUUGACGGUGUAGCGGUGAAAUGCAUAGAUAUCGUCAAGAACACCGAUAGCGAAGGCAGCCAACUAGGGGCCAACUGACGCUGAGGCACGAAAGUGCGGGGAUCAAACAGG
RNAcentral lists this ribosomal RNA (253 nucleotides) under uncultured bacterium. RNAcentral's name for it is "partial 16S ribosomal RNA". It matches the Rfam family "Bacterial small subunit ribosomal RNA", at positions 524 to 776 of the family's 1533-position model. The record is from RNAcentral.